AACGCAAAUUGCACUCUCUGGUAUUCCGGGGAGUAUGCCUGUUUGAGGGUCGCCAAAUCAACAUCGAAAUUCAUUUGCUUUUGUAAAUGUUUAUCGGAUUUGAGCCGUCUUUUUUUAUUUUUUAAUUAAAGUGGCUUAAAAUGUAUUUUUUUGGUAUAUCGAAAAACGUUAUUUUACGAUCAAAUUGAUUAAAAAAACAAACGUUUCGAAUGCCGUCUUUUAAUGUGUAAUACGUUUGACUGUGAUGUUUAAUCAUGGUUUCAUUCGUAUACGAUUUUUUAAUUUUUGACCUCAAAUCAGGUAAGAACACCCGCUGAACUUAA
RNAcentral lists this unclassified non-coding RNA (323 nucleotides) under uncultured Glomeraceae. RNAcentral's name for it is "sequence contains ITS2". The stretch from base 1 to 52 matches the Rfam family "5.8S ribosomal RNA", at positions 103 to 154 of the family's 154-position model. The record is from RNAcentral. Lineage: Eukaryota; Fungi; Glomeromycota; Glomeromycetes; Glomerales; Glomeraceae.